AUUGAACGCUGGCGGCAUGCCUAACACAUGCAAGUCGAACGGUAACAGGAAACAGCUUGCUGUUUCGCUGACGAGUGGCGGACGGGUGAGUAAUGUCUGGGAAACUGCCUUAUGGAGGGGGAUAACUACUGGAAACGGUAGCUAAUACCGCAUAACGUCUCAAGACCAAAGAGGGGGACCUUCUGGCCUCUUGCCAUCGGAUGUGCCCAGAUGGGAUUAGCUAGUAGGUGGGUUAACGGCUCACCUAGGCGACGAUCCCUAACUGGUCUGAGAGGAUGACCAGCCACACUGGAACUGAGACACGGUCCAGACUCCUACGGGAGGCAGCAGUGGGGAAUAUUGCACAAUGGGCGAAAGCCUGAUGCAGCCAUGCCGCGUGUAUGAAGAAGGCCUUCGGGUUGUAAAGUACUUUCAGCGGGGAUGAAGGGAGUAAAGUUAAUACCUGUGCUCAUUGACGUUACCCGCAGAAGAAGCACCGGCUAACUACGUG
This 490-nucleotide ribosomal RNA is filed under the name uncultured bacterium. RNAcentral describes it as "partial 16S ribosomal RNA". It matches the Rfam family "Bacterial small subunit ribosomal RNA", at positions 30 to 507 of the family's 1533-position model. The record is from RNAcentral.